UACGGAGGAUCCGAGCGUUAUCCGGAUUUAUUGGGUUUAAAGGGUGCGCAGGCGGGGGAUUAAGUCGGCGGUGAAAUUUUGCAGCUCAACUGUAAAAGUGCCUUCGAAACUGGUUUCCUUGAGUAUGGAUGAAGUAGGCGGAAUUUGUGGUGUAGCGGUGAAAUGCAUAGAUAUCACGAGGAACUCCGAUUGCGCAGGCAGCUUACUAAACUACUACUGACGCUCAGGCACGAAGGCGUGGGGAUCAAACAGGAUUAGAUACCCUGGUAGU
RNAcentral lists this ribosomal RNA (271 nucleotides) under uncultured prokaryote. RNAcentral describes it as "partial 16S ribosomal RNA". It matches the Rfam family "Bacterial small subunit ribosomal RNA", at positions 524 to 794 of the family's 1533-position model. The record is from RNAcentral.